AGCUUUCUGAAUGCAUGCUGAGAUUUCAUCAGACACCAGCCCAUUAUGGUUGAUCAGACUUCACAGGUAAGUGAAGUU
RNAcentral lists this microRNA precursor (78 nucleotides) under Schistosoma margrebowiei. Its description in RNAcentral is "mir-3492 microRNA precursor family". It matches the Rfam family "mir-3492 microRNA precursor family". Lineage: Eukaryota; Metazoa; Platyhelminthes; Trematoda; Strigeidida; Schistosomatidae. The record is from Rfam by way of RNAcentral.